GAAGAUAACCUUAUUAAGAGGAAUUGGCAUGGAAGUGCGCAAUGUGUAUUUUGUCCGCAUGAUGAAACAAUAAAACAUUUGUUCUUCCAAUGUAAAUUGGCUCGUUCUAUAUGGUCAGUUAUUCAAAUAGCUUCUGGCUUGUAUCCUCCUUGUAGUGUUGCUAAUAUAUUUGGCAACUGGUUACAUGGAAUUGAUCACAGGUUCAGAGUUCUACUUAGGGUGGGAGCGUUUGUCGUGAUUUGGUCGCUUUGGCUAUGUAGAAAUGAUAAUUUUUUUAACGAUAACAGUACUUUGUUUAUGCAGAUUAUCUACAGAUGUACUGGGACGCUUCGUUUAUGGCCCUCUCUACAACGAGUGGAGAAUCGAGACCUGUUUACGGAGGUGUGUACAUGA
Molecule: ribosomal RNA, 393 nt
Filed under: Triticum aestivum (bread wheat)
Lineage: Eukaryota; Viridiplantae; Streptophyta; Magnoliopsida; Poales; Poaceae
Description: partial small subunit ribosomal RNA
Source: RNAcentral